GCAGGCACUUGGUGGCCAAACUCUUGGUGCACCUCAGAUUAUUCUGUGUACACCAUCCAUGGGGGGGUCAAGCCAACCCACACCUGUGGAGAGAUAUGCAGGGAGCUUUUUUGACUUUUCCCAAAUAAGUGAGGCGGUGCAAAGGGCAGCAGAAGCCGUGGAAAUUGCACAUGCCAACUGGAGGAAGAUUUUGGAAUCACGAGCUUUGCAGAUUGAACAAGAUGAGGUGUUCCAUGCAGCUCAG
Non-coding RNA from Pocillopora verrucosa, 244 nucleotides. NCBI's taxonomy places the organism in Eukaryota, Metazoa, Cnidaria, Anthozoa, Scleractinia, Pocilloporidae. The record is from RefSeq and is a predicted model, not a curated record.